CCUACGGGAGGCUGCAGUGGGGAAUAUUGGACAAUGGGGGGAACCCUGAUCCAGCCAUGCCGCGUGUGUGAAGAAGGCCCUCGGGUUGUAAAGCACUUUCAGUGAGGAAGAACGCCUGGUGGUUAAUACCCAUCAGGAAAGACAUCACUCAGAGAAGAGGCACCGUCUAACUCCGUGCCAGCAGCCGCGGUAAUACGGAGGGUGCGAGCGUUAAUCGGAAUUACUGGGCGUAAAGCGCGCGUAGGUGGCUUGAUAAGCCGGUUGUGAAAGCCCCGGGCUCAACCUGGGAACGGCAUCCGGAACUGUCAAGCUAGAGUGCAGGAGAGGAAGGUAGAAUUCCCGGUGUAGCGGUGAAAUGCGUAGAGAUCGGGAGGAAUACCAGUGGCGAAGGCGGCCUUCUGGACUGACACUGACACUGAGGUGCGAAAGCGUGGGUAGCAAACAGGAUUAGAUACCCCAGUAGUC
RNAcentral lists this ribosomal RNA (465 nucleotides) under Vreelandella stevensii. RNAcentral describes it as "partial 16S ribosomal RNA". It matches the Rfam family "Bacterial small subunit ribosomal RNA", at positions 338 to 795 of the family's 1533-position model. Lineage: Bacteria; Pseudomonadati; Pseudomonadota; Gammaproteobacteria; Oceanospirillales; Halomonadaceae. The record is from RNAcentral.